AAGAAAGAGGUGAUAUGAUCACUACAUACAAAAUAGUAACAGGAAUCGAUAAAAUUGAUAGGAAAAUUCCUGAGACCUGGAACUUCUGAACAAGAGGUCAUAGAUUUAAACUAAUGAAACAAAUCUGCUGGAUACAUAUAAGGAAAAUCACUUUUGUAAACAAAGUGGCAGACGGAACAAGUUAGGUGAGAAGGUGGAGGAUAUCAACACCUUCAGUAAUUUCAAAGCUUUAUAUGACAGUGCUGGGAAGACAGGACUCCAUGAGCGUAGCUCUCGUCCUGUAACUACAUCUUUGGUAAUUAUACUUGGGUAAUUACUGAGAAAUGGAAUACAGUACACCUCUUGGUGUAUAUAUCCCUGUAUUAUGAUAAUGCUAGGUAUGUCUUAUUUCUGGUGGUAGUAGAAAUGAAUCGGAAAGCAAAGGUCUAGCAUACUGAAGAGGAAUUGUCGUUCAGUCAGGCAUGUAAGGAAGCUAGGCAAGUACAAAGAGAAACUACAGAAAUAAACGGUCACCAGAGGGAGAUACUAGAGAGCUGGAAAUAAGUAACUCGGUGUGGGAAGAAAAGCGGAGAGAUAACAAUCGGGUAGAGAAAGAGAUCUGGGGAUUGACAUCACACUGAACCUGUUACCCAAAGCCCAUAUCAAAAAAAUUAUCAUCACUGGCAUAUGCUAGACUGGCCAAUACAAGAACUGCCUCUAGAAACUUGUGUAAGGAAUCAUUUAGAAUCCUGUACACCACAUAUGUCAGACCAAUCCAGAUGCAUGUGGCCCCAGCAUGAAGUUCAUAUCUAUUCAAACACAUGUUGAAGGUAGAAAACGUUCAAAGGUUUGCCACCAGGCUAGUUCCUGAGCCAAGUGGUAUGAGCUAUGAGGAAAGGCUACUGGAAUUAAAUCUCACAUCACUGGAAGACACAUGAGUUAAGGGAGACAUGAUUACCACCUACAAAAUUCUCAAGUGGAAUUGACAGGGUAGAUAAAAGACAGACUAUUCAGCACAGAUGGUACAUGAACAAGGAACGACAGGUGGAAAUUUAGUAUCCAGAUAUCCAGUAACCUAUACACCAGUUGAUUGAUGGCAGAGAGGCAGGACCAAGGAGCCAAAGCUCAACCCCUCCACUAGCACAACUAGGCAAGUACAGUACUUGCAAUGUGUAGACUAAUGCUUCUUGCUGACUGAUCGAGUAGCAGCAGCUUCAUCCUGGAAAGUGUGCAGAUAUCUGUGUAGUGUCUAUGAUUUAUACAUUAUGAAUGUAGGAGUAGCAGAUGUGGAUGCUUGAUGCAGCUGCUGCACUUUGUUUAGAAUUUAUAGGAAUAAUAGAUACAGUACUUUUGUUAAGCAGGUAAUUUGAAGUCUGUGUUGGUAAUUAAAUAUAAAAAAUUAGCUAAAUGGUGGAUGAAUGUUAUUGAGUAUAUUAAUGAAUGUACGGGGUAUGACAGUAGUUUGAUAAAAUAAAUGAUUGGUAUUGUAUAAAUGAUUUAGCAAUCCAAUAAAUGUUACUUGCAUUACUUGACAUUAAAGAUAUUGAUAUUAGAGAACCUUCUUGGGUAAUUGGGCACAUCUGAUAAUAAUAAUAAUUUGUCAAAUCUUGUAAAAUUUUAUAAUGUGAUUGAUUAGGCCCAAGAUAAAUUUUAACAAUAAAAUAGGUGUUAAUGUAAUGAGGGAAAUAUAAUUAUUGUACAGCGGUGUCAUCUGUUAUCAGAAGUAUUUAACAUUGUACACUUUAUGCAUCAUCUAGACUUUUGUAUAAUUCUGACUUUUUAAUUUAUAAUUCAUUACAAAAACCUUCCUCAUUAGCACAAACAAUAGAACUCUAAUAUAUAAAUAUUUUUUACCCAAAUCACACGAAAAAGUACAUUUUAAAUUAAAUAUUUUUAUGCAUCUCCAACACAAAUUACUAAAGCAUAUUGGUUCCAAAGUAUAAAAAAUUGCCCUUUUCAAGUGAUAGGUCUUUGGAUAAUACACAUUAUUAAUUUGGCUUGGGAUAAUGCUGACUAUACCCUCCCCCCCAUUUAGUUAAUUCAGACCUAUGCUUGAGAUGCCUGGAUAAUUUGGCUUUGUUUUAACUGAGUAAAUAUACAUUUUAAUCAGAAAAUUAAUUCCUAUAUGUAAAGCAAGUGAAAUACUAGAUGUGUGUGUGUGUAAUUUUGCUUCAAAACAUGGGGGGUACAGUAUUUAGCUACAAUGAUGUAAGGCAGGCUGUUAUUUCUUAAAAUACAGUACCUUAUAACUUUUGACUGCUUGAAUUUAUGCAGCCAAUACUCAAUAGCAAAGAAUUUCUUGUUGGAGUAGGCACCUAAUACUUUUACAUGAAUUUCAUUAGUUCAUUAUAUGAUGAUAGUUCCUAAGAGGGUAUUACUUAAGUGUUCAAUGCAGGCCAGACAAGCAGCAUUGAGCACAUUCCAAUGCUUUAAACAAUAAAGCUACCUCACUGGAGUCAGAAUUAAUUGAGGCUGCUUUAAUCAUUCAGAUUUGUUGUAUUUGCUUCCUUCAGAAAAUUGUUGAGGAUCUGAUUGCAGAGACUUCACAGUAGGUACGGUAUUGUAUUUUUUUAAUAAAUCCGUGUACUAUCACAUGCAGCAUUUUGGGCAUAUAUUAAGAUUGUGUUACUGUAUUUCUUUACUUUCCAAAAUCUCAAAUGAUGUAAAAAACUCAUUUACCAGUUAUAUCAUCAGAAUUAAGUAAAUAAACACUGAUAAAAAUGACAACAGAUUAAUGCUGUCCACAUUCAUAAAUAUUACGUAUUACCAAGCACUGAAAAGUGACUUAUGUAUUAUGUAAUAAGCUGUAUAUGUAUUAAAUACAGGUACUGGUAUGUAUAAUAAAUGUUUGAAUAUGAUAUUCAGUAAUAUUUUUUUUAUGAAUUCAUUAUCCAUGAAUAAAUGCAUUUUACAAGUAAGUGUGUUGUAUUAACCAGUCUCGAUGCUACCUGUACUGUAAUUUUGUCUUUAAUAAAAUAAUUAUUACUAUAGUUAGAUUUUAUGAUUAUGUAAUUAUUUUUUACUGUCCUGGUCAUAACCUUGUUGUGGAGGGGUCUUGCAUACUGUUUACCAGGUUGGCAGGUUGCUUAUUUUAGCCUUUCUUCUAGUAAAAGGUAUAAGAACCUGACCAAAUAUGUCCAAAAUCUUAUUUAUGUUUGUAGUGUGAAUGUUGAUUGUGGAGUAAAGCAUCAGAACCUCAACAGGGCAAGACUUUUAUGCUGCAAGUCAUCAUCUUGCCCCUUCACACUGACUUGUGUGGUUGGGGUACAACAGGCCUAGCAUGAAUCUGGCCCCUCUGCAAGUUUUGUUCUUCCCUUAAUCCUGAUGGCUCCAAGAGUUCUGUUGUACUGAUCCUUGACUCGGCAUCUGCCUCACCCCCUCCCCCAAUAUUUCUGCACGCUGCAGUUGCCCUGUUCAGCCUGGUUUUUGUGGUUGCAUUCGUUAACUGUUCUUUAGAAAUUCCCAUUUGGUUUUUAAACUUGCUUUCUUAUUAUGGAUCUACCCAUUGAGCCCGCUCUCGCUAUUUGUGAGUUUGAGGGAGGGAGUUUGUUGGCUUUGCUGCGAACAUUUUCUGCCUCUGCCAGAGUCCUGUUGUGUUUAGACCCCUAGGGAGGUCUAUGUCUAAUCCUGCUUCUGAGCUAGAUUUAUCAGUCAUCUGCCCCUUUCUGAACUAGGUUUGCUCAGGUUCAGCAUUCAUGUCUUUGUGCUCAAUUGGGUACCCUGGAGUUGGCUUAUACAGUAUUGUACUAUGUUUAACAACCCAGAAUUAGUGGUGUUGGCAAAUUCCACUCUGGUUUCAUCAACACCACCACCUCUUCUGUGGUUUGCCCUGCUUCUGUUUCUUACCCCUCACUGACUGCUGACACUGACAUUUUUUCUUUAUUUCAUAUCUAUGGAGCUGUAUUUUUUGUCUACAUUCUAUGAAAAUUAAUUAAAAAUAUUGUACUGAAAAUAAUAAAUUAUUUUUAGUUUACUAUUUUUAAAAGUAAAAUAUGAUCCACACCUUCGAUAUAAUGUUACAAAAUACCUAAAAAUUACUGCCAUAUUUACCAGUAAUCAUAUUGACCCAAUUUUAUAUUUACAAAGUUUCUCUUGUGAAAAUAGCAAACAGGAAAAUAUGGUUUACUUUUACAUUUUAUUUGUAUUUUUAUAGUCAUGAAAAUAUAUAGAAAUGGAAUUUGUGCCUCUAUUCUCACACUAUUUAUAGCAUUUUUACUUUUUGGAAAUAUAUUAGUUCAAGGAAUAAUAACCAGCAGAAAAUUCACAAUAUAAUUCUGUAGGACAUUUCUACCCCUUCAUCCUGUAAACUGAAUGAUUCCUGUACAUGUAAACCAAAAAUAAACUUUAUAUUUUAAUAUAUAUAUAUAUAUACUGUAUAUAAUAUUUUAUAAAUACUUGAAAAUUCCAUAUACCCUGGCUGGGUAUAUGGGUACCACGGCUCUGUUUUGCCUCAUGCAAGUGGAGGUUCUAGUCCCAGCCAGGGCAUUUGGAAUUUUCAAGUCUUUAGACAGUCUAUGCCUAUGACCUUGCAGAAUAGCAUAUUGCUAUAAUAUCACACUUCGAAAGUGCAAGUAAUUAAUUCAGCAGUCACAUGGGAAUCACAUCUCAAGAUAUAGGUAAAUGACUAAAAUUAUUACACACAGAAAUGACACUAACGUGAUGUAUCCAAUGAACAAAUCCACAAGGGCCGUGACGAGGAUUCGAACCUGCGUCCGGGAGCAUCCCAGACACUGCCUUAAUCGACUGAGCUACGACAGGGUUAAAAAGAGUUGAAACCAAAGUUCUUCUGAACUUAAUGGAUCAGUGUCCAGUGAACUUACUGGAUGUCAGUGUCUGGUAUGCUCCCGGACGCAGGUUCGAAUCCUCGUCACGGCCCUCGUGGAUUUGACUAAAAUUAUCUUCUGGAAGAUAACACCAUUUAUAUGUUUGUGUUUAUCUUAUUUUACUUGCAAGAAUAGACAUAUGCUUGUGUAUUGUAACUUGUGUGCACAGCUGUGCGGGAGUUUGUAAGUGUAAUUAUCCAAGUGUAUUUACAGAAUGAGAGCCUAUGACCAUGAGUGUGUGCACUGCAUGUAAGUAUAUGCCUACUUAGAUCUGAGAGUAUGACCGUUGGUGUGUGUUGAUAUAAAAUAUGGAAUACAGAAUAUUGAGAAUGUGUAUAUCGCCACAAUAAACCACAUACUUAAAAUUAUAUAUACAGGUUGCUAAGAAUAUUUCAUCCAUAAAAUAUGUUGUACAAUGUAUACAAUUAAAAGAACAGUGCUCAAAGUACAUAUUUAUGACAAAAGAAAAGCUUAAUACUGUAUUACUUUCCAAUUCGCAGUAGUUGAAUAAUUUUUAAAUCAAACGAACUUCAGUAUAUAAAAAAAAAGAGGGGGACACCCUAACAAAUUCUGUGCUCAUAAUAUAUUACAAUCCAAUUCAAAAUAUAUUGCAUACCUAAACUAGCACACGUAUUACCCUAAAUAGAGAAGCCACUCUACUAAGCAUGAAAUGAACCAUCUUGUAAAGGACCUAAAAAUAUUAAACAAAAAUACAUUCCUAUAACUAUUAAAAA
This is a non-coding RNA of Procambarus clarkii (red swamp crayfish), 5536 nucleotides long. The record is from RefSeq and is a predicted model, not a curated record. Lineage: Eukaryota; Metazoa; Arthropoda; Malacostraca; Decapoda; Cambaridae.